Molecule: ribosomal RNA, 800 nt
Filed under: Pseudarthrobacter oxydans
Lineage: Bacteria; Bacillati; Actinomycetota; Actinomycetes; Micrococcales; Micrococcaceae
Description: bacterial SSU rRNA
Rfam family: Bacterial small subunit ribosomal RNA
Source: RNAcentral
UGCGGGGAUUAGUGGCGAACGGGUGAGUAACACGUGAGUAACCUGCCCUUAACUCUGGGAUAAGCCUGGGAAACUGGGUCUAAUACCGGAUAUGACUCCUCAUCGCAUGGUGGGGGGUGGAAAGCUUUUGUGGUUUUGGAUGGACUCGCGGCCUAUCAGCUUGUUGGUGAGGUAAUGGCUCACCAAGGCGACGACGGGUAGCCGGCCUGAGAGGGUGACCGGCCACACUGGGACUGAGACACGGCCCAGACUCCUACGGGAGGCAGCAGUGGGGAAUAUUGCACAAUGGGCGCAAGCCUGAUGCAGCGACGCCGCGUGAGGGAUGACGGCCUUCGGGUUGUAAACCUCUUUCAGUAGGGAAGAAGCGAAAGUGACGGUACCUGCAGAAGAAGCGCCGGCUAACUACGUGCCAGCAGCCGCGGUAAUACGUAGGGCGCAAGCGUUAUCCGGAAUUAUUGGGCGUAAAGAGCUCGUAGGCGGUUUGUCGCGUCUGCCGUGAAAGUCCGGGGCUCAACUCCGGAUCUGCGGUGGGUACGGGCAGACUAGAGUGAUGUAGGGGAGACUGGAAUUCCUGGUGUAGCGGUGAAAUGCGCAGAUAUCAGGAGGAACACCGAUGGCGAAGGCAGGUCUCUGGGCAUUAACUGACGCUGAGGAGCGAAAGCAUGGGGAGCGAACAGGAUUAGAUACCCUGGUAGUCCAUGCCGUAAACGUUGGGCACUAGGUGUGGGGGACAUUCCACGUUUUCCGCGCCGUAGCUAACGCAUUAAGUGCCCCGCCUGGGGAGUACGGCCGCAAGGCUA